Molecule: ribosomal RNA, 253 nt
Filed under: uncultured bacterium
Lineage: Bacteria
Description: partial 16S ribosomal RNA
Rfam family: Bacterial small subunit ribosomal RNA
Source: RNAcentral
UACGGGGGGGGCAAGCGUUGUUCGGAAUUACUGGGCGUAAAGGGCGCGUAGGCGGCCUUCUAAGUCGAACGUGAAAUCCCCGGGCUCAACCCGGGAACUGCGUCCGAUACUGGGAGGCUUGAAUCCGGGAGAGGGAUGUGGAAUUCCAGGUGUAGCGGUGAAAUGCGUAGAUAUCUGGAGGAACACCGGUGGCGAAGGCGGCAUCCUGGACCGGUAUUGACGCUGAGACGCGAAAGCGUGGGGAGCGAACAGG